GAUGAAGAACGCAGUGAAAUGCGAUACGUAAUGUGAAUUGCAGAAUUCAGUGAAUCAUCGAAUCUUUGAACGCAUAUUGCGCUCUCUGGUAUUCCGGAGAGCAUGCUUGUUUGAGUAUCAGUAAACACCUCAACUUCCAUAUCUUUUUUGAAAUGGGAGUUGGACUUGAGUGAUCCCAACGCUUUUCCUCACCGAAAAGUGGCGGGUUACUUGAAAUGCAGGUGCAGCUGGACUUUUCUCUGAGCUAUAAGCAUAUCUAUUUAGUCUGCCUAAAAAACAGAUUAUUACCUUUGCUGCAGCUAACAUAAAGGAGAUUAGUUCUUGUGCUGACUGAUGCAGGAUUCACAAAGACAGGCUUCGGCCGACUUUGUAAACUCGAUCUCAAAUCAAGUAAGACUACCCGCUGAACUUAAGCAUAUCAAUAACGGAGGA
This 432-nucleotide unclassified non-coding RNA is filed under the name soil metagenome. RNAcentral describes it as "partial contains 5.8S ribosomal RNA, internal transcribed spacer 2, and large subunit ribosomal RNA". The stretch from base 1 to 120 matches the Rfam family "5.8S ribosomal RNA", at positions 35 to 154 of the family's 154-position model. The record is from RNAcentral.